CAGCCGCCGCGGGAACACGUAGGUGGCAAGCGUUGUCCGGAAUUAUUGGGCGUAAAGCGCGCGCAGGCGGAUAGGUCAGUCUGUCUUAAAAGUUCGGGGCUUAACCCCGUGAUGAGAUGGAAACUACCAAUCUAGAGUAUCGGAGAGGAAAGUGGAAUUCCUAGUGUAGCGGUGAAAUGCGUAGAUAUUAGGAAGAACACCAGUGGCGAAGGCGACUUUCUGGACGAAAACUGACGCUGAGGCGCGAAAGCCAGGGGGGCGAACGGGAUUAGAUACCCCAGUAGUCCCUGUCUCUUAUACC
RNAcentral lists this ribosomal RNA (301 nucleotides) under uncultured bacterium. RNAcentral's name for it is "partial 16S ribosomal RNA". It matches the Rfam family "Bacterial small subunit ribosomal RNA", at positions 509 to 808 of the family's 1533-position model. The record is from RNAcentral.